This 450-nucleotide ribosomal RNA is filed under the name uncultured Glomeromycotina. RNAcentral describes it as "SSU rRNA". It matches the Rfam family "Eukaryotic small subunit ribosomal RNA", at positions 569 to 1022 of the family's 1831-position model. The record is from RNAcentral. Lineage: Eukaryota; Fungi; Glomeromycota.
AGCAGCCGCGGUAAUUCCAGCUCCAAUAGCGUAUAUUAAAGUUGUUGCAGUUAAAAAGCUCGUAGUUGAAUUUCGGGAUCAAUACGUCGGUCGUGCUUUCGGGUACGUACUGGCGUCAUUGGUUUCUCCUUUCUGACGAGCCAUGAUGUCAUUAAUUUGGUGUUAUGGGGAGUUAGGACUGUUACUUUGAAAAAAUUAGAGUGUUUAAAGCAGGCAUUAGCUUGAAUACAUUAGCAUGGAAUAAUGAAAUAGGACGUUCGAUCCUAUUUUGUUGGUUUCUAGGAUCAACGUAAUGAUUAAUAGGGAUAGUUGGGGGCAUUAGUAUUCAAUUGUCAGAGGUGAAAUUCUUGGAUUUAUUGAAGACUAACUACUGCGAAAGCAUUUGCCAAGGAUGUUUUCAUUAAUCAAGAACGAAAGUUAGGGGAUCGAAGACGAUCAGAUACCGUCGUA